CCUACGGGUGGCAGCAGUGGGGGAUAUUGCACAAUGGGGGGAACCCUGAUGCAGCGACGCCGCGUGGGUGAAGGAGUGCUUCGGCAUGUAAAGCCCUAUCGGCAGGGAAGAAGCAAGACGGUACCUGACUAAGAAGCCCCGGCUAAAUACGUGCCAGCAGCCGAGGUAAUACGUAGGGGGCGAGCGUUAUCCGGAUUCACUGGGUGUAAAGGGAGCGUAGACGGCCAUGCAAGCCAGGGGUGAAAGCCCGGGGCCCAACCCCGGGACUGCCCUUGGAACUGUGCGGCUAGAGUGCGGGAGGGGCAGGCGGAAUGCCUGGUGUAGCGGUGAAAUGCGUAGAUAUCAGGAGGAACACCGGCGGCGAAGGCGGCCUGCUGGACUGCGACUGACGUUGAGGCUCGAAAGCGUGGGGAGCGAACAGGAUUAGAUACCCGAGUAGUC
RNAcentral lists this ribosomal RNA (441 nucleotides) under uncultured bacterium. RNAcentral describes it as "partial 16S ribosomal RNA". It matches the Rfam family "Bacterial small subunit ribosomal RNA", at positions 338 to 795 of the family's 1533-position model. The record is from RNAcentral.